Molecule: ribosomal RNA, 522 nt
Filed under: uncultured archaeon
Lineage: Archaea
Description: bacterial SSU rRNA
Rfam family: Archaeal small subunit ribosomal RNA
Source: RNAcentral
UCUGAGACACGAAUCCAGGCCCUACGGGGUGCAGCAGGCGCGAAAACUUUACAAUGCCGGCAACGGCGAUAAGGGGACCUCGAGUGCCAGGUUACAAAUCUGGCUGUCGUGAUGCCUAAAAAGCAUUGCAUAGCAAGGGCCGGGCAAGACCGGUGCCAGCCGCCGCGGUAACACCGGCGGCUCGAGUGGUAACCGUUAUUAUUGGGUCUAAAGGGUCUGUAGCCGGCCGGAUAAGUCUCUUGAGAAAUCCAGCAGCUCAACUGUUGGGCUUUCAGGAGAUACUGUCUGGCUCGAGGCCGGGAGAGGUGAGAGGUACUUCAGGGGUAGGGGUGAAAUCUUGUAAUCCUUGAAGGACCACCAGUGGCGAAGGCGUCUCACCAGAACGGACCUGACGGCAAGGGACGAAAGCUAGGGGCACGAACCGGAUUAGAUACCCGGGUAGUCCUAGCCGUAAACGAUACUCGCUAGGUGUCGGCCACGGUGCGACCGUUGUCGGUGCCGUAGGGAAGCCGUGAAGCGAGC